This 2951-nucleotide long non-coding RNA is filed under the name Mus musculus (house mouse). RNAcentral describes it as "long non-coding RNA chr8:72711886-72714837". The record is from RNAcentral. Lineage: Eukaryota; Metazoa; Chordata; Mammalia; Rodentia; Muridae.
UCUGAAAGCCUACCAAGGCAGGGGCUUCAGUGACUUAGCCAUGGCUCACCUGGUUGAAGCCAACUGACUCUCUCUGCUGGUGCCAUGUGGACCCCCCCUUCCCCUCAACCAUCUUCCAUUUUUCCUCAUAGCUUUUUCUGUGGGUUCUGAAGGCCUACUUCCUUCAAGUGAGCAGCAGCCUGCAUCUCCCACCUUACUCUAAGAACUUGGCUCAAAGGCUUGGCUCUGCCUCUUAGUUGUACUGGUGCAAUUCUUAUCCCUGAGCCAGUUACUAGCUGUGAGAGGAUCUGAAAUCAUUGUAGGGACCAAGAGUGACCUUGUCAAAGUGUUGUGUGAUGGAGAGUGAAAGACUGCUGGGAUGUGAUGGGUGCUGUCCUGUCUUCAUAGCAGUGAGCCUCCAGUAAUAGCCCAUAAUCCAUACUGCAAAGCCACACAGAGCAUAGUUAAACACACAGCAUAGUUAGUCUGUCUGCAGCUCCUGCUGUGAGACUCAAAAUGGUGUGUAAAAAAAAUCCUCCUAGGAUCUGGUGGUGGCAUAGCUUUCAAUCCCAGCACUCAGGAGGCAGAGGCAGGAGGAUUCCUGUGAGUUUGAGGCCAGCCUUAGGUUACAUAGUAAGUUUCAGGACAGCCAGAGCUAUGUAGAGAGAAAAGACUGGUGCUGGCUCAGGGCUUAAAUCACCUUGCAUCCCAGAAUACAAGAACAUUGUACACACUGUCACCAACCUGUAAGCCUAGCCUCAGGGAACAGGCUAUUUUUGUUUCUUCCACUGCUGUGACUGAAAAACUCGACCAAAAGCAACUUAGAGGAGGAAAUGGUUCAUCUGGCUUUCACCCCCAGGCCACACACCCAGUUCUUUACUUAGGGAAGUCAGGGAACGAACUCAAGCAGGAACUGAAGGCAAGCCUGCUGGCUAUUGCACACAGCAUGACCUCUGACUAGGGGACUCAGCCGCGGUCAUACAGCAGUGUCUCCGUCAUUAUCAAUUAGUGAUGGUCAAGAGACACCAUGACCAUGGCAAAGCAGUUAAUGGGGUUGGGAGAACUGUUUAUAGUUUCAAAGGCUUAGUCCACUGUCAUCACGACAGGGAGCCUGGUGGCACACAUGGCAGGCAUGGUGCUGCAGGAAUAGCUGAAAGAUAUAUCAUGAGAAUCCUUUUAAACAGUUCCCUCUCCGGUGGCCAGACACUCAAAUAUAUAUGCCUCUGGGAGCCAUUCUCACUCAAGACACAAGCCUGAACCACAGAGGAUGUAGUUUCUGCCGUUCUCCUGAUUAGCUAAGCUUUUUCAUAAGCCCCAGAACCACUUACCACUCACAGUGGGCUCCCUCCUCCAUCAGCUAGCAGUCAAGACAAUGCCCCAUGGACAGGCCCACACACCAGUCUGACCUGGGCAACCCUUCAAUUAAGACUUGCUUCUCAGGUGACUCUAGGCUAUGUGAAGUUGACAGUUAAAGCUAAUAAGGUCAUAGAGGAUCCUGAGCAUUCUGGCUAGCUAGCUAGACACAUCUGUGAGCUCUGGGUUUGAUUAAGAGACCCUGCCACAAUGAAUAAGGUAGAAGAGAAGUCAAUGAUUAUUCCUGACUCAACCUCAUGCCUUCAGAUACACAUCACAUGUACCCACAUGGGUGCUCAGGCACACAUGAACACUCAUGAUGCCCACACCAGCCUCCAUGUGUAGCCAAAAGUGCUGGCACAGUCUUAUCCUCCUGCCUCCAUUUCCUGCUUGGACAACUAUAACCACUGUGCCCAGCUAAGAUGCUGUCUCACUCAGUUCCCUGACACAUCAGGACAUGCUAGCAUCUACCUGCUUUGCUGCCAGACCUUCUGCCUUGAAAUGGCUUUCUCCACAGUGCUCACAGCCAUCUAGUGAGCCGGUCUUGUGCCUGGAGCCUUGCUACAGCCAGACCUUAGAGGUGAGAGGCCCCCUUCACGCCAUGGGACACUAGACAGACUCAGUGAAAGCAGCAGUAGAAACAGCUUGUUUUUCUGUGUUGGAUACAGAACCAGGACUUGAAGGCAAGUGCUAUAUCUCAAGCCAUACCCUGAGCCCUUACUGGGGGAAUCCAGGAAGGGGCUUUACUGCUCAGUCACAUUCCAGCUUCAAAAUGAGGCCUUUGAAGAUACCUUGUUCAGUUACUUCCCAAAUAAGGAUUCCAAUGCAUGCUUUAGCAAUUCUGAAAAUGUUAGUGUCAAAUUUUAUUUUUUUAAAAAAAUUACUGGUUAUGGCAAACAGAGGUUGUGUGCACCUUUAAUCAUAGCACUUGAGAGGCAGUGGCAGUGGCAGUGGCAGUGGCAGUGGCAGUGGCAGAAGCAGAGGCAGGCAGAUUUCUGAGAUCAAGGCCAGCCUGGUCUACAAAGUGAGUUCAGGACAGCCAGGGCUAUACAGAGAAUUCCUGUCUCCAACAGCAGCAGCAGCAGCAGCAACAACAACAAAGGUCUGGAGAGAUGGCUCAGCAGUUUGAUCCAUCUUAGCCCCCACAUCAGAUGGCACACAAAAGGCCUUUUGGCCUUUGGAGAUACCUGCCCAAACAUACACACACACACACACACACACACACACAGAAUUAAGAUCAAUAUUUUUAAAAAUUAUGGGCCAAUGAGCUGACUCAGUUGGUAACAGCACUUGCUACUCAGUCCCGAUGGGCUGAGUUCAAUCCCUGGCACUCAGAGAGUGGAAGUAGAGAGCCGACUUCAGAGUUGCUCUCUGACUCCACACAUUCACUAAGGUAAGCACCAUGGUGAUGACACCCCCACCAUGCACUCAUAUGCAUACCAAUAGUAGUAAUAAUAUAAUAACAAUAAAAUUAAAGAUCUAUUUUAAGCUGUAAUUUAAAAAUAUAUGCACAUGUAUUGAACAAUAAUUUGUUUGAGAUUUUUAAAAAUAAUACUUUUUUACUAACAUGUACUAAUUGUAAUAUAUUAAUGAAGACCCACAAGAUAUUUUCAGCAUGC